UCUUAAACUACUCCCAGCCUUCUGUGGGGAUUCGGUUGGCCAUGUGACUGACUUCCAGACAAGUCAGUGUGGGAGCAAGUGACGCAAGCCCGCGGACUUCAGCGCUGGCCCACGGGCAUCCUCGUGUGGUGUUCAUGCUCUUAUCUCUUCCCCCGAUUUAGGGCAGAGGAGCACGGGAAGCUUGGUCCAGAUGAAGACAGUAGGAGCAGAGAUGGGAGCAGAAGUGGGCGGAGCCACCAAACAGACACCUGUUUGUGCAUUAACACGAAUGAAAAGACGGAAGUAUCAGGAAAAGGAAGCAGGAAAUUAUUUAAGCAAAUUCACUGUUAACUUUUUAUAAGUAAAUCGUGACCCAGGACG
Leopardus geoffroyi (Geoffroy's cat) is the source of this 360-nucleotide long non-coding RNA. RefSeq lists it as uncharacterized. The transcript has 2 exons. The record is from RefSeq and is a predicted model, not a curated record. NCBI's taxonomy places the organism in Eukaryota, Metazoa, Chordata, Mammalia, Carnivora, Felidae.